GAGGCUUUGAAGACGUGACGCCAGUUGCGUUGGAGCCGUCCUUGAAAUACCACCCUUGUAUGUUUGAUGUUCUAACGUUGGCCCCUAAUCGGGGUUGCGGACAGUGCCUGGUGGGUAGUUUGACUGGGGCGGUCUCCUCCCAAAGAGUAACGGAGGAGCACGAAGGUGGGCUAAUCACGGUUGGACAUCGUGAGGUUAGUGCAAUGGCAUAAGCCCGCUUAACUGCGAGAAUGACGGUUCGAGCAGGUGCGAAAGCAGGUCAUAGUGAUCCGGUGGUUCUGAAUGGAAGGGCCAUCGCUCAACGGAUAAAAGGUACUCCGGGGAUAACAGGCUGAUACCGCCCAAGAGUUCAUAUCGACGGCGGUGUUUGGCACCUCGAUGUCGGCUCAUCACAUCCUGGGGCUGAAGUCGGUCCCAAGGGUAUGGCUGUUCGCCAUUUAAAGUGGUACGCGAGCUGGGUUUAGAACGUCGUGAGACAGUUCGGUCCCUAUCUGCCGUGGGCGUUGGAAGAUUGAAGGGGGCUGCUCCUAGUACGAGAGGACCGGAGUGGACGAACCUCUGGUGUUCGGGUUGUGUCGCCAGACGCAUUGCCCGGUAGCUAAGUUCGGAAUCGAUAACCGCUGAAAGCAUCUAAGCGGGAAGCGAGCCCUGAGAUGAGUCUUCCCUGAUACUUUAAGUAUCCUGAAGGGUUGUUCGAGACUAGAACGUUGAUAGGCAGGGUGUGUAAGCGCUGUGAGGCGUUGAGCUAACCUGUACUAAUUGCCCGUGAGGCUUAACCAU
RNAcentral lists this ribosomal RNA (780 nucleotides) under Vibrio vulnificus. RNAcentral describes it as "partial 23S ribosomal RNA". It matches the Rfam family "Bacterial large subunit ribosomal RNA", at positions 2151 to 2925 of the family's 2925-position model. Lineage: Bacteria; Pseudomonadati; Pseudomonadota; Gammaproteobacteria; Vibrionales; Vibrionaceae. The record is from RNAcentral.